Molecule: ribosomal RNA, 464 nt
Filed under: uncultured bacterium
Lineage: Bacteria
Description: partial 16S ribosomal RNA
Rfam family: Bacterial small subunit ribosomal RNA
Source: RNAcentral
GACGAACGCUGGCGGCGUGCUUAACACAUGCCAGUCGAACGGUAAGGCCCUUUCGGGGGUACACGAGUGGCGAACGGGGGCGUAACACGUGGGUGAUCUGCCCUGCACUUUGGGAUAAGCCUGGGAAACUGGGUCUAAUACCGGAUAGGACUACGCGAUGCAUGUCGUGUGGUGGAAAGCUUUUGCGGUGUGGGAUGGGCCCGCGGCCUAUCAGCUUGUUGGUGUGGUGAUGGCCUACCAAGGCGACGACGGGUAGCCGGCAUGAGAGGGUGUCCGGCCACAAUGGGACUGAGGUACGGCCCAGACUCCUACGGGAGGCAGCAGUGGGGAAUAUUGCACAAUGGGCGCGAGCCUGAUGCAGCGACGCCGCGUGGGGGAUGACGGCUUUCGGGUUGUAAACCCCUUUCAGCACAGACGAAGCGUAAGUGACGGUAUGUGCAGAAGAAGCCCCGGCCAACUACGUG